UACGUAGGUGGCAAGCGUUGUCCGGAUUUACUGGGUGUAAAGGGUGCGCAGGCGGGACUGUAAGUUGGAUGUGAAAUACCGAGGCUCAACCUCGGGGCUGCAUCCAAAACUAUGGUUCUUGAGUGAAGUAGAGGUAGGCGGAAUUCCGAGUGUAGCGGUGAAAUGCGUAGAUAUUCGGAGGAACACCAGUGGCGAAGGCGGCCUACUGGGCUUUAACUGACGCUGAGGCACGAAAGCAUGGGGAGCAAAC
RNAcentral lists this ribosomal RNA (250 nucleotides) under uncultured bacterium. Its description in RNAcentral is "partial 16S ribosomal RNA". It matches the Rfam family "Bacterial small subunit ribosomal RNA", at positions 524 to 773 of the family's 1533-position model. The record is from RNAcentral.